AUAUUUGAAUGAACCCUUUUCUGAACGGUCUGCAAAUGCCAUCUUUGUUAUUUUGUUGCGCUGUUUAUCGCUGUUAACUCAGUUUUUCAUGGGAAAACAUCAUAUAAGUGAAUUAUAAAGCUAAACAUGUACUUAUUUUUAAGUGAGGUGAUAUAAACAAUGUUUGCCCUGCUGAACGGGUGACCUUCAAAAAAAAUUUCCUCGAGAGGCAAAAUCUGCCAAAACCGCCGUACAUUUCUCUGAAUCGGAAUUCGAAAUCGAUAUUGCAUCAAGAUCGUGUCAGUAUACUGCAAAGUCUGGGAUUAAUGGCAUGAAUUCAAGUUAUUAUUCGGACCGGAUUUAUCGGGAACCCCGGAAUAUUGUUUGGACUUAUAGGUAGUUAUUCUAUCAUAGUGAAAGUGGGCUGACUGUAUAUUUUUCGAGUCGAAUGUUAUAAAAUAAAUCAUGCAUGUGUGAAAAUUA
This is a long non-coding RNA of Aedes aegypti (yellow fever mosquito), 462 nucleotides long. RefSeq lists it as uncharacterized. Lineage: Eukaryota; Metazoa; Arthropoda; Insecta; Diptera; Culicidae. The transcript is spliced from 2 exons. The record is from RefSeq and is a predicted model, not a curated record.